AUUGAACGCUGGCGGUAUGCUUAACACAUGCAAGUCGAACGGUAACAGCAGGAGCUUGCUCUUGGCUGACGAGUGGCGGACGGGUGAGUAAUGCAUAGGAAUCUGCCUAUUAGUGGGGGACAACAUGUGGAAACGCAUGCUAAUACCGCAUACGCCCUACGGGGGAAAGCGGGGGAUCUUCGGACCUCGCGCUAAUAGAUGAGCCUAUGUCAGAUUAGCUAGUUGGUAGGGUAAAGGCCUACCAAGGCGACGAUCUGUAGCUGGUCUGAGAGGAUGAUCAGCCACACUGGAACUGAGACACGGUCCGGACUCCUACGGGAGGCAGCAGUGGGGAAUAUUGGACAAUGGACGAAAGUCUGAUCCAGCAAUACCGCGUGUGUGAAGAAGGCCUGAGGGUUGUAAAGCACUUUCAGUGGGGAAGAUAAUGACGUUACCCACAGAAGAAGCACCGGCUAACUCCGUGCCAGCAGCCGCGGUAAUACGGAGGGUGCAAGCGUUAAUCGGAAUUACUGGGCGUAAAGCGCGCGUAGGCGGCUAGAUAAGUCGGAUGUGAAAUCCCUGGGCUCAACCUAGGAACUGCAUUCGAAACUGUCUAGCUAGAGUUUUGGAGAGGUAAGUGGAAUUUCCGGUGUAGCGGUGAAAUGCAUAGAGAUCGGAAGGAACACCAGUGGCGAAGGCGACUUACUGGCCAAAAACUGACGCUGAGGUGCGAAAGCGUGGGUAGCGAACAGGAUUAGAUACCCUGGUAGUCCACGCCGUAAACGAUGUCAACUAGUCGUUGGUUCCCUUGAGGAAUUAGUGACGCAGCUAACGCAAUAAGUUGACCGCCUGGGGAGUACGCACGCAAGUGUAAAACUCAAAGGAAUUGACGG
This 872-nucleotide ribosomal RNA is filed under the name uncultured Gammaproteobacteria bacterium. RNAcentral describes it as "bacterial SSU rRNA". It matches the Rfam family "Bacterial small subunit ribosomal RNA", at positions 28 to 916 of the family's 1533-position model. Lineage: Bacteria; Pseudomonadati; Pseudomonadota; Gammaproteobacteria. The record is from RNAcentral.